GUGGGGAAUAUUGGGCAAUGGGGGAAACCCUGACCCAGCAACGCCGCGUGAAGGAAGAAGGCUUUCGGGUUGUAAACUUCUUUUAUGAGGGACGAAGAAGUGACGGUACCUCAUGAAUAAGCCACGGCUAACUACGUGCCAGCAGCCGCGGUAAUACGUAGGUGGCAAGCGUUGUCCGGAUUUACUGGGUGUAAAGGGCGCGUAGGCGGGAUAGCAAGUCAGGUGUGAAAUCCGGGGGCUUAACCCUCGAACUGCACUUGAAACUGUUAUUCUUGAGUGAUGGAGAGGCAAGCGGAAUUCCUAGUGUAGCGGUGAAAUGCGUAGAUAUUAGGAGGAACACCAGUGGCGAAGGCGGCUUGCUGGACAUUAACUGACGCUGAGGCGCGAAAGCGUGGGGAGCAAACAGGAUUAGAUACCCCGGUAGUCC
Molecule: ribosomal RNA, 427 nt
Filed under: uncultured bacterium
Lineage: Bacteria
Description: partial 16S ribosomal RNA
Rfam family: Bacterial small subunit ribosomal RNA
Source: RNAcentral